RNAcentral lists this unclassified non-coding RNA (367 nucleotides) under Amphibalanus amphitrite. RNAcentral's name for it is "uncharacterized LOC122364257, transcript variant X3". Lineage: Eukaryota; Metazoa; Arthropoda; Thecostraca; Balanomorpha; Balanidae. The record is from RNAcentral.
GUCCAGUGCAGCUCUUCAAUAUCCUCACAUCAUGAACUUCUCUAUCUACGCCCUGCUGGUGGUGCUGGUGAUCGCCGUCUGUGUCGGCGUCAGCUCCGUCUCGGCCGACUACGGAGACGACGGGUACUACGGCGGGUACCGCGGAUACCGUCGCAGCUACCGCCGCAGCUACUACCGCCGCAGGGGAUAGACGCCGACCUCAGCUGGACUGAUGUCGACCCACUCAGGCUGCCCACUGGACACUCCAUGGCUGUCACCGACUCCCACACCACCGGGAGCGAACUCAGAGCGUGCUAUAUCGAACGAUAAGGCAUUUUUUGGUGCCGUGAAACGCUCGACCACCUGACCAAAUAAACUGGAAAAACUA